Molecule: ribosomal RNA, 496 nt
Filed under: uncultured bacterium
Lineage: Bacteria
Description: partial 16S ribosomal RNA
Rfam family: Bacterial small subunit ribosomal RNA
Source: RNAcentral
GAUGAACGCUGGCGGCGUGCCUAAUACAUGCAAGUCGAGCGAACAGAUGAGGAGCUUGCUCCUCUGACGUUAGCGGCGGACGGGUGAGUAACACGUGGAUAACCUACCUAUAAGACUGGGAUAACUUCGGGAAACCGGAGCUAAUACCGGAUAAUAUAUUGAACCGCAUGGUUCAAUAGUGAAAGACGGUUUUGCUGUCACUUAUAGAUGGAUCCGCGCCGCAUUAGCUAGUUGGUAAGGUAACGGCUUACCAAGGCGACGAUGCGUAGCCGACCUGAGAGGGUGAUCGGCCACACUGGAAAUGAGACACGGUCCAGACUCCUACGGGAGGCAGCAGUAGGGAAUCUUCCGCAAUGGGCGAAAGCCUGACGGAGCAACGCCGCGUGAGUGAUGAAGGUCUUCGGAUCGUAAAACUCUGUUAUUAGGGAAGAACAAAUGUGUAAGUAACUAUGCACGUCUUGACGGUACCUAAGCAGAAAGCCACGGCUAACUACGU